CAGUCGAACGGAGUACCCUCGAAAGAGAUUUCGGUCAAUGGAGAGGACUACUUAGUGGCGGACGGGUGAGUAACGCGUGAGGAACCUGCCUUUCAGAGGGGGACAACAGUUGGAAACGACUGCUAAUACCGCAUGAUGCAGUUGGGUCGCAUGGCUCUGACUGCCAAAGAUUUAUCGCUCUGAGAUGGCCUCGCGUCUGAUUAGCUAGUUGGUGGGGCAACGGCCCACCAAGGCGACGAUCAGUAGCCGGACUGAGAGGUUGACCGGCCACAUUGGGACUGAGACACGGCCCAGACUCCUACGGGAGGCAGCAGUGGGGAAUAUUGGGCAAUGGGCGCAAGCCUGACCCAGCAACGCCGCGUGAAGGAAGAAGGCUUUCGGGUUGUAAACUUCUUUUAUUGAGGACGAAACAAAUGACGGUACUCAAUGAAUAAGCCACGGCUAACUACGUGCCAGCAGCCGCGGUAAUACGUAGGUGGCAAGCGUUAUCCGGAUUUACUGGGUGUAAAGGGCGUGUAGGCGGGACUGCAAGUCAGAUGUGAAACCCAUGGGCUCAACCCAUGGCCUGCAUUUGAAACUGUAGUUCUUGAGUGAUGGAGAGGCAGGCGGGAUUCCGUGUGUAGCGGUGAAAUGCGUAGAUAUACGGAGGAACACCAGUGGCGAAGGCGGCCUGCUGGGCUUUAACUGACGCUGAGGCACGAAAGCGUGGGUAGCAAACAGGAUUAGAUACCCUGGUAGUC
This 740-nucleotide ribosomal RNA is filed under the name uncultured bacterium. Its description in RNAcentral is "bacterial SSU rRNA". It matches the Rfam family "Bacterial small subunit ribosomal RNA", at positions 59 to 795 of the family's 1533-position model. The record is from RNAcentral.